This 306-nucleotide unclassified non-coding RNA is filed under the name plant metagenome. RNAcentral's name for it is "partial contains 5.8S ribosomal RNA, internal transcribed spacer 2, and large subunit ribosomal RNA". The stretch from base 1 to 105 matches the Rfam family "5.8S ribosomal RNA", at positions 50 to 154 of the family's 154-position model. The record is from RNAcentral.
GAAAUGCGAUAAGUAAUGUGAAUUGCAGAAUUCAGUGAAUCAUCGAAUCUUUGAACGCACAUUGCGCCCGCCAGAGUGCUGGCGGGCAUGCCUGUCCGAGCGUCAUUUCAACCAUCAAGCCCCCGGGCUUGUGUUGGGGACCUGCGGCUGCCCGCAGGCCCUGAAAACCAGUGGCGGGCUCGCUGUCACACCGAGCGUAGUAGCAAUCACCUCGCUCAGGGCGUGCUGCGGGUUCCGGCCGUUAAACAGCCUUACAAAACCCAAGGUUGACCUCGAAUCAGGUAGGAAUACCCGCUGAACUUAAGC